RNAcentral lists this ribosomal RNA (253 nucleotides) under uncultured bacterium. RNAcentral describes it as "partial 16S ribosomal RNA". It matches the Rfam family "Bacterial small subunit ribosomal RNA", at positions 524 to 776 of the family's 1533-position model. The record is from RNAcentral.
UACGAAGGGGGCUAGCGUUGCUCGGAAUCACUGGGCGUAAAGCGCACGUAGGCGGAUCUUUAAGUCAGGGGUGAAAUCCUGGAGCUCAACUCCAGAACUGCCUUUGAUACUGGGAGUCUUGAGUUCGGGAGAGGUGAGUGGAACUGCGAGUGUAGAGGUGAAAUUCGUAGAUAUUCGCAAGAACACCAGUGGCGAAGGCGGCUCACUGGCCCGAUACUGACGCUGAGGUGCGAAAGCGUGGGGAGCAAACAGG